AAGGUUAAGAGGGAUGCGUCAGUCGCAAGAUGAAGCGUUGAAUUGAAGCCCGAGUAAACGGCGGCCGUAACUAUAACGGUCCUAAGGUAGCGAAAUUCCUUGUCGGUUAAAUACCGACCUGCAUGAAUGGCGUAACGAGAUGGGAGCUGUCUCAACCAGAGAUUCAGUGAAAUUGUAGUGGAGGUGAA
This 188-nucleotide ribosomal RNA is filed under the name uncultured Helicobacter sp. RNAcentral describes it as "partial 23S ribosomal RNA". It matches the Rfam family "Bacterial large subunit ribosomal RNA", at positions 1873 to 2057 of the family's 2925-position model. The record is from RNAcentral. Lineage: Bacteria; Pseudomonadati; Campylobacterota; Epsilonproteobacteria; Campylobacterales; Helicobacteraceae.